GCCUACGGGGCGCAGCAGUCGGGAAUAUUGCGCAAUGGAGGAAACUCUGACGCAGUGACGCCGCGUAUAGGAAGAAGGUUUUCGGAUUGUAAACUAUUGUCGUUAGGGAAGAUACAAGACAGUACCUAAGGAGGAAGCCCCGGCUAACUAUGUGCCAGCAGCCGCGGUAAUACAUAGGGGGCAAGCGUUAUCCGGAUUUACUGGGUGUAAAGGGAGCGUAGACGGCGAAGAAAGUCUGAAGUGAAAGCCCGCGGCUCAACCGCGGAAUGGCUUUGGAAACUUUUUUGCUGGAGUACCGGAGAGGU
Molecule: ribosomal RNA, 305 nt
Filed under: uncultured bacterium
Lineage: Bacteria
Description: bacterial SSU rRNA
Rfam family: Bacterial small subunit ribosomal RNA
Source: RNAcentral